GUUACAGCAUCACUUUCAAAUGUUCUCUGCAAUAGCAUAUAAAAAAAAAUCUGUAAUAUUUUGUCCCUGAUUUUUUUUUAUAUAUUUUUUUUGUGCCAGUCUCAGCCUGUCAGUCACCUUGCAUGUUCACACAUGCUGACAUUGGCUCACAUGUCUUUAGAGGGCAGGGCUUAAGUGUGGUUGAAGUUAGUGGAAGUUAGCAAAACAGGUGACAUUUUGAAAUUAAAUGAUGGUGUCCUUGUCUCCUGUGAUCACAUCAACUUGUUGUCCUGGAUUAAGAUGGAUUUAAUAUUUUAGUCUGCAUGUUGAUGAGCUUCUUGUUCAGUUGUUUUUUUUUUUUUCUUUCUUCAUUUUUGCAUUAUGAAAUUUGUGCUUUUUUGCAACACUGUUCAUACUCAUUUGCAACAUUUUGAAUGACUUCUCAGUUCAGCCCCACACAUGACAUGCAGGAAAAAAAUAGUAGGCUAAAUCGUGUGCACAAUUUACUAUUUUGUUCCCUCAAUUUAUAAAUUGUGCACACGAUUUAGCAAAUCGAGGGAACGAAAUAGUAAUCGUGUGCACGUUUUAGUAAAUCGUGUGCACAAUUUAUUAUUUUUUUUCUUGCAUGUCAUGUGCGGGGCUCCGUACACAACAAUUGAUUUAUAUUGUUAACAUUUUCAAAAACUCAAGUUUCACUGCUGUUCUUCAAUAUGUUUGUAUUUCAGGAGUUUUUGGACAAUGGAAUGUGAUUUAUGAAACUCAAUCAAUAUGUGCUCUUAAAGGAUCCACAGUAAACAUGUCAUGCUCGUAUACGUACCCUCAGCAGUAUAAAUUGAUUGAUACAUUCUGGAUAAAGAGAUCGGAUAUGAAAAGUUUAAAAGAAUAUCCCGAGUAUAAACACAGGGUUGAAUACAUUGAACACAGACAAAACCAAACUGCUGUCCUCAGACUGCACAACAUCACUGAAAAUUAUGAGAGCGAGUAUUGUUUCAGAUUAAUAACUAAUACUGAAGGACAAAAAUGGUAUGGCAAACCAGGAAUUCAGCUUAAAAUUUCUGCUCUUCAGGUAAAGGCACCGCAGCUGGUGCUGGAGAAAGAAAGAGUCAAUCUGACCUGUGAAACCACAUGCAGUCUGACAGACGGAUUCAUCUGGUACAAAAAUGGACAGGCUUUAAAGAUCCAGAGCGAAACACUCCAGCUUCAGUCAGAGCGCAGUGAUUCUGGCCGUUACAGCUGCGCCGUCAGAGGACAUCAACACCUGCCCUCUCCUGCUGUCAACAUCACUGUCAUGUAUCCCCCUCAAAAUGUGUCAGUGUCCAUCAGUGCGUCUGGUGAAAUAUUGGAGGGAGAUUCAGUGACUCUGAGCUGCAGCAGUGACUCAAACCCUCCUGCUCUGAUCUUCAGCUGGUUUAAGGAGAAUCAAACCUCAGCUGUUGGAUCUGGACAGAGUUUCAUCAUCUCCAGCUUUAACUCCAGUCACAGUGGACGCUACUAUUGUGAGGCUCAGAAUCAAUAUGGAUCUCAGAGAUCAGCAUCUGUUUCAGUCUCUGUUAAAGGUGAUUGGAAUAUCUUGUAUAUGAUUGCUGUCUGUGUCACUGCUGCAAUUGCAGCUGGAUUUGUGCUCUUGUUUCUCAUCAUCAUUGUGCACAAAAGGACUAAGAAAAUAAAUAAUGACUCUAAGGACACUCAGCAAAAAAAGGUGGACGUCUGCAGGAAAGGCCUCUGAAUCCGGAGAUGCUGAAAAUGCUUCUGUCCAAGAUGACAGAGAUACAGACACAAAGAAACCUGAAGAGGAGGAGAUUGAGUACGCCAGCAUUACAAUUCACCAUCCAGCUACAGAAGCCAAAUCUGCUGCAAGCCAAGAGACGGAUUUAUCUGUGAUUUACAGCAGCAUCAGAUGAUCCAGACUAAUCUCCAGACCAUAAACAUACUUUUUCUUUUACUUUUUUGUUUAAUUUAAUCAUGUUUUUGAGUGUGCAUUGUUUAUUAAGCAUCCGCAGAUCCAAUUCAAUUCAAAAUUCUGUUUCUCUCUCUCUCUCUCUCUCCAUAUCUAGACAUUUAAAGGAUUUGCUGUUUUGUUUCUCAUUCAAGUCACAGCAUAAAUGUAAUUUUGCAAAGUAGAUACAUAGGCUUUUACUUAAAUCAAGACCAGACAGGGACAUGAACACCUGUGCGACAUGUUGAUCAAAGUGAGAGUCGUCACAUCUGCUCAGCUGGGGGCAAAACUCACCUUCA
Molecule: RNA transcript, 2214 nt
Organism: Onychostoma macrolepis
Lineage: Eukaryota; Metazoa; Chordata; Actinopteri; Cypriniformes; Cyprinidae
Gene name: B-cell receptor CD22-like
Exons: 7
Source: RefSeq, a predicted model, not a curated record